UAGGGAAUCUUCCACAAUGGACGCAAGUCUGAUGGAGCAACGCCGCGUGAGUGAAGAAGGCUUUCGGGUCGUAAAACUCUGUUAUUGAAGAAGAACGUGUGUGACAGUAACUGGUCAUGCAGUGACGGUAUUCAAUCAGAAAGUCACGGCUAACUACGUGCCAGCAGCCGCGGUAAUACGUAGGUGGCAAGCGUUGUCCGGAUUUAUUGGGCGUAAAGCGAGUGCAGGCGGUCUUUUAAGUCUGAUGUGAAAGCCUUCGGCUUAACCGAAGAAGGGCAUCGGAAACUGGGAGACUUGAGUGCAGAAGAGGAGAGUGGAACCUCCAUGUGUAGCGGUGAAAUGCGUAGAUAUAUGGAAGAACACCAGUGGCGAAGGCGGCUCUCUGGUCUGUAACUGACGCUGAGGCUCGAAAGCGUGGGUAGCAAACAGGAUUAGAUACCCUGGUA
This 446-nucleotide ribosomal RNA is filed under the name uncultured bacterium. RNAcentral describes it as "partial 16S ribosomal RNA". It matches the Rfam family "Bacterial small subunit ribosomal RNA", at positions 355 to 792 of the family's 1533-position model. The record is from RNAcentral.